Molecule: ribosomal RNA, 254 nt
Filed under: uncultured bacterium
Lineage: Bacteria
Description: partial 16S ribosomal RNA
Rfam family: Bacterial small subunit ribosomal RNA
Source: RNAcentral
UACGUAGGGUGCGAGCGUUAAUCGGAAUUACUGGGCGUAAAGCGUGCGCAGGCGGUUGGUCGUGUCCUGUGUGAAAGCCCCGGGCUUAACCUGGGAAUGGCAUGGGAGAACCGGCUAGCUGGAGUGUGGCAGAGGGGGGUGGAAUUCCGCGUGUAGCAGUGAAAUGCGUAGAGAUGCGGAGGAACACCGAUGGCGAAGGCAGCCCCCUGGGCUGACACUGACGCUCAGGCACGAAAGCGUGGGGAGCAAACAGG